ACACAUCCCACAACCCUCAUGCAUAUCAUAGUUCAAGAAUCUCCAAAACACACACACACACACAUUGAAAAAUGAGGCAAAAUUUUGUGUUAAAAUCUCCAAAGAGAGAAGAGCAAACAGUUCCUGACUCGGUAAUAGCUGAAUUCUUCGAAAGCAACGACGAUAAUCUAUCUGAUUUCAAGGGUACUUGGGGAAUUAAAGAUGGAGGGAAUCAAACAGAAGGUAUUGUGAGUUCGACAUACGAAGAAUUCGAUUUGGAUUAUUUAAUGGAAUGGGAUGAAUUCUCAAUUGAUGAAGAGGAUCAAGGUUUGACAAAUGACAAGUCCGAAAAUCGAGAGGGUAAUAUGGUCAAUUUGAUUGGAAACAUAAAAAGAGAAAUUUGUGGGAUUUGGAAAGAGGAAGAAGAUGAAGAUCAAGAAGAUAAGGAGAAGAAUUCGUGUUUGAAUUUGAAUUUGAAUUUGAAUUACCAAGAAGUUAUGGAUGCAUGGUCCAAUCGCGGUCCAUGUUUGACAAAUGAUUUUACUCGUUCGACCUCCAAUGAUUAUUAUGUUAGUUGCUACAUUUUCAAAUUUCAUUUGCGUUUUAGUACUACCAAAAAAAAAAAGGCUUCAGAAACUUCCCAAAUUCUCAAAGCCAUAGAUGGGAGAGGUGCCGGUGAUGGAAGAAGCAAGAACAAAAAGAGAAGCAAGUGUUCUCAGAUACAGAAAGAAGCGUAAUAACAGAUUGUUUUCCAGAAAAAUAAGAUAUCAAGUUCGAAAGCUCAAUGCUGAUAAAAGACCAAGACUCAAGGGAAGAUUUGUGAAGAGGGAAUCAUGAGAAGAUACUAAAAAGGUGAUAGAGCAAAAUAUCUACAAACAAAUAUCUUGUGAAAUUGGUUGAUAUUUUCCACAUGGAGAUUGUGUAUUGUGUUUUUCAUAUGUGAUUAUGGAGAUAUCUCUAUUUUAUUGUGUGUAUAUUUAUUGAAAUGACAAAAAUAUAUUUCACAA
This is an RNA transcript of Cynara cardunculus var. scolymus (artichoke), 986 nucleotides long. It is a transcript of the gene named zinc finger protein CONSTANS-LIKE 8, with no coding region annotated. Lineage: Eukaryota; Viridiplantae; Streptophyta; Magnoliopsida; Asterales; Asteraceae. The record is from RefSeq and is a predicted model, not a curated record. The transcript is spliced from 3 exons.